Molecule: long non-coding RNA, 4083 nt
Organism: Ictalurus punctatus (channel catfish)
Lineage: Eukaryota; Metazoa; Chordata; Actinopteri; Siluriformes; Ictaluridae
Source: Ensembl
GAUUCUUCCUAAAACAUUCCGAGUGCCGCGUCCUGAUCUGCCAGACAGCCCCGGGUGUGCGCUUGUGUGUCUGUGUGAAAUGUGUACACGAAGAUCUUGCUAGACAUAUGCUUUCUGGUGUUCCAGUAGUAGAGCAAAUUUUUGGCAGCCGUAGAACAUCUUCCAUGCAUAAUCACGGAGUCGAUUAAUGUGUUCUACAUUUAACGUGCUACGUUUUCUUGUAUCGAAAUGUGUCACGGAUGAAUUUUCAGUUUUUGCACAGUACUCAAAACUUAUUUCGGAGGUGGGGAUUGGGGGUUUUGAAGGGGGGAGGGGUAUCAUGACAUCAUCCUACAGUGAUUCUUCAGGUCAUUGAGGUGGCUCUUGAAUGGACGAAGAAAACACAAAAGCUUCCUGAGCAAGUAUAAAGAGCCAAUCGAGUCCUGAGAGCCAGAGCCUCCUGUUUCGGAGUGGCCUGCUUUUGUGCUGGAGUUGAAUAAGACCACUGUGUGUCUGAAACCUUUUUAUAUGCCACUGGACAACAUCUAGAGUCAGGCCUUCAUCUUGUACUCAUCUGAGGUCAGCUUUGUGUUUUCUAUUCAAAUGAUCACAUGUGGGUUCAAAUGAGGUAAGAAUGUCCCAUAGCCCCCUUUCUCACCUUCUCUCUUAUGAGAGAGCAUGAGAGUGCAGAUCAGAGGAUUGGGAGAGCAGCUUGAACGUUACACACACAGUGCAGGAUGUAGCGGAGACGGCGAAGUAAACAAUAACGUAGUCUAAUGUUGUGCAAUUUAGCUCCUGUUUCUCAGCGAUCCACUGAAUCUCAUUAGCCUUUCGACAAGAAGUUAAUUCGGUGUUUUAGCCUCGGCAGUGCGUGCAAACAGCUCAGGGCUCAUUCUGAAUGCUUACAGCUCAUCAAAAGCUUUCUAAAAUGAUCUCCUCUGAAGCUAAUUUACAGUCUUUGUCUGCAGUGCUUUUACAAGCAACGAUAGUGUGUAAGCAUGCUGGAGAUGAUAAAUGACUUUUCAUCCUCUGCUCUGUUCUCACCACUCCCCCUGUGAUGCUGCUUCACCAUCGGCUCAGAUGACGUCAUGAGCCUCGUCCUUCUGUGCUCUUGCUUGUUUAUGCUUAUUUUAACCAACCAUCGAAGUCCAUAAGAGGAUAUAUUUUAGUGGCUAUAUCUUUAGUUGUCAUGGUCAAGGUUUCCAUGGCCACGUUGUUCUCUCAGUCAUUUCAUCCAUCAAUAAUGGGAUUGACUGGUACAGCAUCUAAUAUUGAAAUAAGGAUAAAUUAAGUGGAUAAACAAGAUUCCAGGCGUUGUGAUGCAUCAGAUAUUCACAACAGAUCGAGUUUUUUGGGCCGGGCAUUCAGACUAAUGGAUGUUAAACUAACUGGAGAAAGCCUUUUUGUCAAAGAAAGCAUUUGUCACAGUGUAGUGACAGAUGUUGUUAUGGGAAGAACUCCAGUCUGGGCCAGUAAAUCUGAAGUAAUAGCUUUCAUCUCUCCUCUACAGCACAUCCAGAAGGGCUGAAUGAAGCAGAGAGAUGAGAGGAUGCAGGAUGCAUACUAACACCCAGCCUGCCACCUCCUCCUCGUCCUCCUCUCCUCACAGCUUCAGGCUGCUAUAUGAGUCUGCACUCUUAUAGCUAAUGUUUCAGGCUGGAAGACAUCUCGAAGACAGGGGAACGUAUGGAUGGCGGGUGAUGUCUAUAUUUGGUUUUGCCUGACUGCACACGGUGUAUAGACUAUGGGUGUUACAUAACAAGUUUUUUAACACUACAGCAGUAAAACAGCCGAGAGGAGGAGUGUGUAUGUGUGUGUGUGGUGUGUAAGAGAGAGAAAAGAGGGGAAUGGGUUCAGUUUUGCAGUACAAUGGAGAGUUGCUUUGCUCGGUGGGGUGGGUUAAGUAAUCUGGGACAGCCAAACCAUGUGAUUGUCGCCAUGGCAAUGGCGACGGCUAGAAGGAGAAGAGGCUAUGUGUGUGUGUGCGUGUGUGUGUGUGUGCAUGUUUUGCUUGCUGUGAUAAGUAGACACACCACAUUUCAUUGACGAUGUAAAUUUGCGUAAUGGCAAAUAGCAUCGCUACACUGUCCCAGGAAGUUCAGUGUUAUAAUGGCAUGGUUGCUAGUUUUCUCUCUCAGUAAUUAGUUUAGUAUGGUUAAAAAGUGCAAAGUGCUUAUGAGGCUGUGUUUGUUAUAAUGAUAUCCAUAACUGAGACAUAGCAUCAACGAUAUAAAGCUCAGCUCUUACAGAUCGUUGAAAUAUAUAGAUUUGGCCAACAUAUAUACAGUGCUGCCUUCAUCGUGAUUUCUUCUGUUUUUGUGUACAUCUCAUAAUAAAUAGUUUUAGAUCUUCAAACGAAAUACAACAUAAAACAAAGGCAACCUGAGUAAACACAUGGUACAGUUUUUCUUUUUUAUUGAAGCAAAAGAAAGUUAUCCAACACCUAUCAGCAAUUUGAAGAACUAGUUGCUCCCUUAAACUUAAAACCUGGUUGUGGCACCUUUAGUAGUAAUAACUGCAACCAAACGCUUCUGAUAACCGGAGAUCCGUCUUUCACUUACUUCCAGGACUAGGACUUACUCCUAUGCUUUGGAUCAUUGUCUUGUUGCAUACUCCAGUUGCGCUUGAGCUUCAAUUUACGGAUUGAAGACCAGACAUUCUCCUUUAGGAUUUUCCUGGUGGAGUUAUAUGAAAAAAUCUGAAAAUAAUAAUCCCCAAAGUUUAUAUAAACAGGAUGUCUUUCAGUUGCCUUUGAGAAGGGUGUAUUAGUCAGGAGUUAGUUUUUAUUAGCCAGUUUCCUCUUCACCUCAGAAGCCUAAAAAGGACCAAACGACAAGCAAAGUACUCGCUUUUAAUUGUUGUUCAUGUUUAUCAUACAAAACAAAAUCUCUCAUGUAUAUCUACACAACACAGCUGUUAGAUUGGCAGCUGAUACCUACAGCAGUCCAUCAGGGUCCAUCCUCACUGUCCACCCACAACAAAAUGCAGGAUCAGGGAGAGGACGGAUCCUUUAUGACCUCAAUACAGGACCAUUGGAAUGUAAUAGUCGUUUUUUUCUAGUACUUGAGUGAUUUAUUAUUUCCUAGAACAUGAGCAUUUCAAUGAUAAAACUCUGAUACGCAGUCUAACACUAUUGUAAUUUACGGCCUGCUCUGUCUGCUGGCUGGGUUCCGGGGGCACCAUGUCCCCAAAUACAAGUGACACUGACGGUUGUGGUGUCCAUCAAACCAUCAGUGAGUUGCCGGAUCUGUCUAUCCAUCUCAGCAAUUAUGCAGGAAGAAACAAACAACCUGUUUACAGCAGAUAAUCGAUGACAUCCGGCUCUAGUUUGGAUAAAUACAGUGAAUAAAGCGCAUAGAAACAGAGCGCCCUCUGCUGGUCAGCAUUAAAUACGUUGUAGCACAUUUUGAUGCAGGGGUAUACUCUAGGGGGUGCAUUGCUAACAAUAAAAUCCUAUCAGGCAGAAAGAAAAGAAUCAUUUUACCACUAAAAGCAUAGUGUCUCCGCACGUCUUCCAACAAUACCAACAGUAUCGUAAAAUUUCAGUUGUGCUUGAAAGUUUUCGAAUUUUCUAAAUUAUAUCUGCAUAAAUUACGACCUAAAACAUCAUCAGAUUUUCACACAAGUGUAUCAUGGAAUGAACAAAGGAGAUUUCUGAGGACCGCAGAAAAAGAGCUGUUGAUGCACAUCAGGCUGGAAAAGGUUACAAAACCAUCUCUAAAGAGUUCUCAACUUAAAGACGACUCCACCGAUCCACAGUCAGACAGAUUGUGUACAAAUGGAGGAAAUGUAAGACCAUUGUUACCCUCCCCAGGAGUGGUCCACCAACAAAGAUCACUCCAAGAGCGAGACAUGUUUUAGUCCGUGAGGCCACAAAGGAACUCGGGGUAACUGCUAAGCAAUUAAAGGCCUCUUUCACAUUGGCUAAUGUUAAUGUUCAUGAAUCCACCAUCAGGAGAAAACUGAACAACAAUAGUGUGCAGGGCAGAGUUGCAAGGAGUUAGUCACUGCUCUCCAAAAAGAACAUUGCUGCCCCUAAGUAGUUUACUAAAUAUCACAUGGACAAGACAGAUGGCUACUGGGAAAAUGGUUUGUGGCCGGAUA